RNAcentral lists this ribosomal RNA (463 nucleotides) under uncultured bacterium. RNAcentral's name for it is "bacterial SSU rRNA". It matches the Rfam family "Bacterial small subunit ribosomal RNA", at positions 331 to 793 of the family's 1533-position model. The record is from RNAcentral.
CCAGACUCCUACGGGAGGCAGCAGUGAGGAAUAUUGGUCAAUGGGCGGGAGCCUGAACCAGCCAUGCCGCGUGAAGGCGAGUGCCCUACGGGCGUUAAACUUCUUUUGUGCGGGAGCAAUAAGGGCCACGUGUGGCCCGAUGAGAGUACCACACGAAUAAGCAUCGGCUAACUCCGUGCCAGCAGCCGCGGUAAUACGGAGGAUGCGAGCGUUAUCCGGAUUUAUUGGGUUUAAAGGGUGCGCAGGCGGUCUGUUAAGUCAGCGGUCAAAGCCCGGGGCUCAACCCCGUCGUGCCGUUGAAACUGGCGUUCUUGAGUGAGCGAGAAGUAUGCGGAAUGCGUGGUGUAGCGGUGAAAUGCAUAGAUAUCACGCAGAACUCCGAUUGCAAAGGCAGCAUACCGGCGCUCAACUGACGCUCAUGCACGAAAGUGUGGGUAUCGAACAGGAUUAGAUACCCGUGUAC